This 263-nucleotide ribosomal RNA is filed under the name Clostridioides difficile. RNAcentral describes it as "partial 23S ribosomal RNA". It matches the Rfam family "Bacterial large subunit ribosomal RNA", at positions 594 to 855 of the family's 2925-position model. The record is from RNAcentral. Lineage: Bacteria; Bacillati; Bacillota; Clostridia; Peptostreptococcales; Peptostreptococcaceae.
UGACCGCGUACUUUUUGUAGAACGGGCCAACGAGUUACGUUAAGUAGCAAGGUUAAGCACUUAAGGUGUGGAGCCGUAGCGAAAGCGAGUUUUAACUGAGCGUUCAGUUACUUGACGUAGACCCGAAGCCGGGCGACCUACCCAUGAGCAGGAUGAAGCGAAAGUAAAAUUUCGUGGAGGUCCGAACCCACGAGCGUUGAAAAGCUCGGGGAUGACUUGUGGGUAGCGGUGAAAUUCCAAUCGAGCCCGGAGAUAGCUGGUUC